CCCUUAGAUGUUCUGGGCCGCACGCGCGCUACACUGAUGCAUUCAACGAGCCUAUCCUUGACCGACAGGUCCGGGUAAUCUUUGAAUCUGCAUCGUGACGGGGAUAGAUUAUUGCAAUUAUUAAUCUUCAACGAGGAAUGCCUAGUAGGCGUAAGUCAUCAGCUUGCGUCGAUUACGUCCCUGCCCUUUGUACACACCGCCCGUCGCUCCUACCGAUUGGGUGUGCUGGUGAAAUGUUCGGAUCGGCCGUUUGUCGCGGUUUCCGCGUCAUGUGGCUGAGAAGUUCAUUAAACCCUCCCACCUAGAGGAAGGAGAAGUCGUAACA
This 325-nucleotide ribosomal RNA is filed under the name uncultured eukaryote. Its description in RNAcentral is "partial 18S ribosomal RNA". It matches the Rfam family "Eukaryotic small subunit ribosomal RNA", at positions 1470 to 1796 of the family's 1831-position model. The record is from RNAcentral.